This 356-nucleotide ribosomal RNA is filed under the name uncultured bacterium. RNAcentral's name for it is "bacterial SSU rRNA". It matches the Rfam family "Bacterial small subunit ribosomal RNA", at positions 556 to 902 of the family's 1533-position model. The record is from RNAcentral.
GGGUGUAAAGCGCGCGUAGGUGGUUAAUUAAGUCAGAUGUGAAAUCCCCGGGCUUAACCUGGGAAUUGCAUUUGAAACUGAUUGGCUAGAGUACGGGAGAGGGAAGUGGAAUUUCCGGUGUAGCGGUGAAAAUGCGUAGAUAUCGGAAGGAACACCAGUGGCGAAGGCGACUUCCUGGCCCGUUACUGACACUGAGGCGCGAAAAGCGUGGGGAGCGAACAGGAUUAGAUACCCUGGUAGUCCACGCCGUAAAACGAUGAGAACUAGAUGUUAGGUGGCUUAGACCAUUUAGUAUCGCAGCAAAACGCGUUAAAGUUCUCCGCCUGGGGGAGUACGGUCGCAAAGAUUAAAAACUU